This is a long non-coding RNA of Camelus dromedarius (Arabian camel), 397 nucleotides long. RefSeq lists it as uncharacterized. The record is from RefSeq and is a predicted model, not a curated record. The transcript has 3 exons. Lineage: Eukaryota; Metazoa; Chordata; Mammalia; Artiodactyla; Camelidae.
AGGAGAGACACAAUCUGGAGGGAGAAGAGCUUGCACCUGAGUUCAGCAGCUCACAAGACAGAAAGCUUUUUAUCUCUAGCAAGCAACUGACAAGAAUGUAGAGAGUGACUGCUGUAUCAUCAAGAGUCAACAUGGAGAGGAGCCCCUGGUAGACCUGCAAUGGACAUAAACUGUGAGUAAGAAACGAACCAUACUGUUUGAAACCACUGAGCAUUUAAAUUUAAGGUGCUUAAUUGGUAACUCAAAGUAGGAUGCUGCUAUAACAAAAAAGAUAAAAUGUUGUCUUAGGGAUGGGUGUAAACAGCAAGGCUAUUAUCAGAAUCUGGAAGUAUGGUAUUCUGUGGUUUGCAAUGGCCAGUUAUUUGGUAAAAUCUUUGAUAACAAGGAAGGCAGAUCA